RNAcentral lists this ribosomal RNA (630 nucleotides) under Oenococcus oeni. RNAcentral's name for it is "bacterial SSU rRNA". It matches the Rfam family "Bacterial small subunit ribosomal RNA", at positions 38 to 635 of the family's 1533-position model. Lineage: Bacteria; Bacillati; Bacillota; Bacilli; Lactobacillales; Lactobacillaceae. The record is from RNAcentral.
UGCGGCGUGCCUAAUACAUGCAAGUCGUACGCUAGCCGCUGAAUUGAUCCUUCGGGUGAAGUGAGGCAAUGACUAGAGUGGCGAACUGGUGAGUAACACGUAAGAAACCUGCCCUUUAGUGGGGGAUAACAUUUGGAAACAGAUGCUAAUACCGCGUAACAACAAAUCACACAUGUGAUCUGUUUGAAAGGUCCUUUUGGAUCGCUAGAGGAUGGUCUUGCGGCGUAUUAGCUUGUUGGUAGGGUAGAAGCCUACCAAGGCAAUGAUGCGUAGCCGAGUUGAGAGACUGGCCGGCCACAUUGGGACUGAGACACUGCCCAAACUCCUACGGGAGGCUGCAGUAGGGAAUUUUCCGCAAUGCACGAAAGUGUGACGGAGCGACGCCGCGUGUGUGAUGAAGGCUUUCGGGUCGUAAAGCACUGUUGUAAGGGAAGAAUAACUGAAUUCAGAGAAAGUUUUCAGCUUGACGGUACCUUACCAGAAAGGGAUGGCUAAAUACGUGCCAGCAGCCGCGGUAAUACGUAUGUCCCGAGCGUUAUCCGGAUUUAUUGGGCGUAAAGCGAGCGCAGACGGUUUAUUAAGUCUGAUGUGAAAUCCCGAGGCCCAACCUCGGAACUGCAUUGGAAACUG